This 496-nucleotide ribosomal RNA is filed under the name uncultured bacterium. RNAcentral's name for it is "partial 16S ribosomal RNA". It matches the Rfam family "Bacterial small subunit ribosomal RNA", at positions 28 to 506 of the family's 1533-position model. The record is from RNAcentral.
GAUGAACGCUGGCGGCGUGCCUAAUACAUGCAAGUCGAGCGAACAGACGAGGAGCUUGCUCCUCUGACGUUAGCGGCGGACGGGUGAGUAACACGUGGAUAACCUACCUAUAAGACUGGGAUAACUUCGGGAAACCGGAGCUAAUACCGGAUAAUAUAUUGAACCGCAUGGUUCAAUAGUGAAAGACGGUUUUGCUGUCACUUAUAGAUGGAUCCGCGCCGCAUUAGCUAGUUGGUAAGGUAACGGCUUACCAAGGCAACGAUGCGUAGCCGACCUGAGAGGGUGAUCGGCCACACUGGAACUGAGACACGGUCCAGACUCCUACGGGAGGCAGCAGUAGGGAAUCUUCCGCAAUGGGCGAAAGCCUGACGGAGCAACGCCGCGUGAGGGAUGAAGGUCUUCGGAUCGUAAAACUCUGUUAUUAGGGAAGAACAAAUGUGUAAGUAACUAUGCACGUCUUGACGGUACCUAAUCAGAAAGCCACGGCUAACUACGU